RNAcentral lists this ribosomal RNA (1623 nucleotides) under Triticum aestivum (bread wheat). Its description in RNAcentral is "partial small subunit ribosomal RNA". Lineage: Eukaryota; Viridiplantae; Streptophyta; Magnoliopsida; Poales; Poaceae. The record is from RNAcentral.
AUGAGUUCGCAAACAAUGUACGGAUUCUCAAGUCUUACGACUUUUGCUACGCUGGUCAUUACCAUGGCCACCGUACUUGUGUUUUUUGUACUCAAAAAUAGAAAAGUUUUACUGUCCGUCAAAAGUGAGCAACACCAGCUCCCACCCGGGCCUCCCACACUGCCCUUCAUCGGCAACAUUCACCAGAUGAUGUGGAACAAGCCGGCCGUAUUCCGGUGGAUCCAUCGCCUGCUCCAGGGGAUGGACACAGACAUCAUGUGCCUCCGUCUUGGAGCCAUUUAUGUUGUCGCCGUGACAUGCCCGGAGAUAGCAUGUGAGGUGCUGCGGAAGAAGGACGAGGUGCUGGCCUCCCGUCCGGCAACCUUCGCCUCGGGUUCGUUCAGCUUCGGGUACAAGGGCACCAUCGUGACACCACACGGAGAGAAGUGGAAGAAGAUGAGGCGCGUCCUCACCUCAGAGAUCCUCACCCCGUCCAUGGAGCAGAAACUCCAUCAUCUCCGGCAGGAGGAGUGUGACCACCUUGUGACGUACAUCAACAAUACCUGCAUGGCAUGUCCAGACAACCUCGUCGACGUGCGACAUGUCGCCCGACAUUUCUGUGGUAACAUGAUAAGAAGGCUCGUGUUGGGUAAGAGAUACUUUGGCAGCGAGCUGCCGGGUUCAUCGGCUAGCGGACCCGGACAUGAUGAGAUGGCACAUGUUGCCGCUCUCUUCACGCUCCUCAACUACCUCUACAACUUCUGCGUGUCCGACUACUUCCCAGCCCUCAUCGGGUUUGAUUUGGAGGGCCAUGAGAAGGUUUCCAAGGAUGUGAUGGGAAUACUCAACCGGUUGCAUGACCCCAUCAUUGAGAAGAGGAUCAUCGAAAGGUCGAAUCUUCGGAAUGGUGGUGAAUGCAAAGAGGCCAGGGACUUUCUGGACGUCCUGGUUUAUCUAGAUGAUGCAGAUGGCCAACCAUUGUUGUCCGUAGACGACAUCCGGGCGCAGAUAGUGGAAAUGAUGUAUGCAACAAUCGAUAACCCAUCAAAUGCUGUUGAGUGGGCACUCGCUGAGAUGGUGAACAAGCCAGAGGUGAUGAAAAAAGCAACUGAUGAAAUCGACGCCAUCGUCGGUAAAGAUAAACUAGUCCAGGAGUCUGACAUUCCACGACUAAACUAUCUCAAGUCAUGCAUCCGAGAGGCUUUCCGCAUACACCCAUACCAUGCCUUCAACCCACCCCAUGUCGCCAUGGUAGACACCACUAUCGCUGGUUACACCAUCCCUAAGGAUAGCCAUGUCAUUUUAAGCCGGAUGGGACUUGGUCGGAACCCCAAGAUCUGGAACAAACCACUUGAUUUUCAGCCCGAGAGGCAUUUGAAUACUGCAAAUGUACUCCUCAGUGAACCAGGACUACGCUUUAUUUCAUUUAGUAGUGGGAGGAGGGGUUGUCCCGGAAUUUCACUUGGUACCUCAGUCACAAUGAUGUUGUUCGCGAAGAUGUUGCAGGGAUUCACCUGGACGAAGCCCGCUGGCGUUGACAGAAUAAGUCUCCAAGAAAGCAAUACUGGCGCCCUUGCCUUAGCUGAACCCCUGGUUUUGCAAGCUAAACCACGUCUGGCUGCACAUCUCUAUGAGAAAAAUUAA